Molecule: non-coding RNA, 727 nt
Organism: Pelobates cultripes (western spadefoot toad)
Lineage: Eukaryota; Metazoa; Chordata; Amphibia; Anura; Pelobatidae
Source: the annotation of a GenBank genome assembly
AGCUCAUCUGCAUGCUUGUCUUCCUCAUCGGGGUCUCGACCUGACUGCAGUUCGUCGUUUUAACCAACUUGAGUGGGCAAAUGCUCACAUUCGAUGACGUUUGGCACUUUGGAGAGGUGUUCUCUCGUAAAUGAAUCUCGGUUUUCAUUGUACAGGGCAGAUGGCAGACAGCGUGUAUGGCAUUGUGUGGGUGAGCGGUUUGCUGAUGUCAACAUUGUGGAUCGAGUGGCCCAUGGUGGCGGUGGGUUAUGAUAUAGGCAUGCGUAUGUUAUGGACAAUGAACACAUGCAUUUUAUUGAUGGCAUUUUGAAUGCACAGCGAUACCAUGACGAGAUCUUGAGGCCCCAUUCUUGUGCCAUUCAUCCACAACCAUCACCAUGAUAAUGCACGGCCCCAUGUUGCAAGGAUCUGUACACAAUUUCUGGAAGCUCAAAACAUUCCAGUUCUUGCAUGGCCAGCAUACUCACCUGACAUGUCACCCAUUGCUCUGGAUCGGCGUAUAUGACAGCGUGUUCCAGGUCCUGCCAAUAUCCAGCAACUUCGCACAGCCAUUGAAGAGGAGUGGACCAACAUUCCACAGGCCACAAUCAACAACCGGAUCAAUGCUAUGCGAAGGAGAUGUGUUGCACUGCUUAAGGCAAAUGGUGGUCACACCAGAUACUGACUUGUUUUCAGAACCCCCCCCCUGGAUUCCCCAAAAUAGUAACACUGCACAUUUUAGAGUGGC